UGCUGAUAAAACGAUUUUUUCGUGUUCAAAAGAAGAUCACUGCCUAAAUUUUAUUAUAACUCAUAAACUAAUGUUAUAUGUUAUAUGUAUGUAUAUGUUGCUCAUAUAAAGUAUAUUCGUACCAUCGCAUCGGCCCCAGGUCCACCUCUCGGAGGAGUAGUUUUCUCCAUUUCAAUUUAGGCAAAUUUUAUGUAAAUAAAAAAAUCGAUUUUUCGAAUAGAUCGGUCCCAGGACUACUUCCCGGAAAACAUUACGGUUUACUUCGAGAUGCACAAAGAAAAACGAUUAAAUAUGGUUCUUCCUCCUUGGACGGGUAUGAAACUUGUACAUUGUUGUUGUCUUUAUCUUGUAUUUCAAUUCCUAUUGGAAGGUUGUUCGGUAACCGGUUGAAAUAUAAGUGCCCUAAAAUUGAUGAUAAUGAAUAGUAAGUAACCAAUUAUUCUUUCCCCAUUCAUUUAUUUCUAAUUGAAAAUUGCUUUCUUUUAAAUUUAUUUCAAAUUUAUUGAAAAAUGCUACUGGCAACUUUGUGCAAUAGAAAGAAGUCACCUGAGUUACUUCCUAAUAAAAUUUUUAUAAUUUUUUACAUACAAUAAUUUUAUGAAAAAAAACGUAACGACGGCUAAUUCGGUUAAAACGUUCCAAUCGAAAGAAGAAGAAGAAGAAGAGAACAGGCUCUUACCAUUCUCCGCCAACUAAAUUAGGAAAACUUCUCUUAUUUUCCGGUUGGAGCUCACGGCUGUGAUCAACUGUUCCAUCUCGUUUUUCUUUUCAGUUGGGAAAAAUUUCACUUGUGAGCGCAGAGUUGCAUGAAUAACUUUGACAACCGAUAAAAGAAACCGACAAGGACAUGGAAGCAAAUCAAAGAUUCUUAGGUGCAUGAGAAUAAACCGAACCGAGAUAAUCAGUUCGAUGUUGCGCAUAUCUCCGACAGCCAAGUUCCGUAUUCCCGUCAAGGCAUGCGUACAGAAGGGUGGAGCUGCAUAUAUCAACUAGGCGGUUUAAGAAACAAGGUCAAACAAUUUAUGAAAUUUUGAAUUCAAACACAAAUAUGUUAGACAAUACAAAAGAAGUAUGGGCAUUUUUUCCUUCAUCAGCAAUAUAAAUGUAUAGUUUCAAUUAACUGCCCACCACUGUUCACUGCUUACUCAGACAAAUUUCUGAGCGUACACGCAAAUUGCAUAAUUUUAGGCGCUUCAUUGCAGCAUAGUGCCAAUAGAAUACCGAUGUUCUUUUAAUGUAUCAACACGCAAAAAAGCUGUU
This is a long non-coding RNA of Ceratitis capitata (Mediterranean fruit fly), 1260 nucleotides long. RefSeq lists it as uncharacterized. The record is from RefSeq and is a predicted model, not a curated record. The transcript has 3 exons. Lineage: Eukaryota; Metazoa; Arthropoda; Insecta; Diptera; Tephritidae.